ACCAGCUGAAAUCAGUUACGUUUCCGGUGUAAGUUUUCUCAAUUUCCCAAACUCCCUCCCCUGCGCUUUCUCUCUUUUCCGUCCACACACAUACUCUCUCUCUCUACCAUUGCCUCUGCUUUCUCUCUCUUCCUUCUUGCUUUUAAACCCCGUCCGUCAGUUACUUCCUCAGUUCUCUCUCUCUAAUCUUCUUCUCCUUGAAAAGAAAACAACAAAGACCCCUCCCUCUCUGCUGCACUUUCUUUUCAAGGAGACCACCGGAGGCUGUGAUGGCUGGACUGUUUCUUGUCGUGGUUGCGGC
Molecule: long non-coding RNA, 301 nt
Filed under: Amborella trichopoda
Lineage: Eukaryota; Viridiplantae; Streptophyta; Magnoliopsida; Amborellales; Amborellaceae
Description: long non-coding RNA (ATRI_LNC001847)
Source: RNAcentral